CCAAUAGCGUAUAUUAAAGUUGCUGCAGUUAAAAAGCUCGUAGUUGAAUUUCGGGACCAUCAUGUCGGUCGUGCCUCGGUACGUACUGGCAUUGUUGGUUUCUCCCUUCUGACGAACCAUGAUGUCAUUUAUUUGGUGUUGUGGGGAAUCAGGACUGUUACUUUGAAAAAAUUAAAGUGUUUAAAGCAGGCUCACGCUUGAAUACAUUAGCAUGGAAUAAUGAAAUAGGACGUUUGAUUCUAUUUUGUUGGUUUCUAGGAUCGACGUAAUGAUUAAUAGGGAUAGUUGGGGGCAUUAGUAUUCAAUUGUCAGAGGUGAAAUUCUUGGAUUUAUUGAAGACUAACUACUGCGAAAGCAUUUGCCAAGGAUGUUUUCAUUAAUCAAGAACGAAAGUUAGGGGAUCGAAGACGAUCAGAUACCGUCGUAGUCUUAACCAUAAACUAUGCCGACUAGGGAUCGGAUGAUGUUAAUUUUUUAAUGACUCAUUCGGCGCCUUACG
Molecule: ribosomal RNA, 499 nt
Filed under: uncultured Glomeromycotina
Lineage: Eukaryota; Fungi; Glomeromycota
Description: partial small subunit ribosomal RNA
Rfam family: Eukaryotic small subunit ribosomal RNA
Source: RNAcentral